CCUACGGGGCGCAGCAGUGGGGAAUAUUGCACAAUGGGGGAAACCCUGAUGCAGCAACGCCGCGUGAGUGAAGAAGUCAUUCGUGAUGUAAAGCUCUAUCAGCAGGGAAGAAAAUGACGGUACCUGAGUAAGAAGCCCUGGCUAACUACGUGCCAGCAGCCGCGGUAAUACGUAGGUGGCAAGCGUUGUCCGGAUUUACUGGGUGUAAAGGGCGUGCAGCCGGAGAGACAAGUCAGAUGUGAAAUCCACGGGCUCAACCCGUGAACUGCAUUUGAAACUGUUUCCCUUGAGUGUCGGAGAGGUAA
Molecule: ribosomal RNA, 305 nt
Filed under: uncultured bacterium
Lineage: Bacteria
Description: bacterial SSU rRNA
Rfam family: Bacterial small subunit ribosomal RNA
Source: RNAcentral